GCUCCGCGGCCCUAUCAGGCUUGUUGGGAGUAACGGAUUCCACACAAGGCGAUCGAUCGGUAAGCCGCCUUGAGACGGGUGACCGUCACCAUGGGACUGAGACCCGGCCAGACUCCUACGGGAAGCAGCAGUGGGGAAUAUGCACAAUGGGCGCAGCUGAUGCAGCAACGCCGCGUGAGGGAUGACGUCUUCGGUGUAAACCUCUUUUAGCAGGGAGAAGCGAAAGUGACGGUACUGCAGAAAAAGCGCCGGCUAACUACGUGCCAGCAGCCGCGGUAAUACGUAGGGCGCAAGCGUUGUCCGGAAUUAUUGGGCGUAAAGAGCUCGUAGGCGGUCUGUCGCGUCUGCUGUGAAAUCCCGAGGGCUCAACCUCGGGGCUUGCAGUGGGUACGGGCAGACUAGAGUGCGGUAGGGGAGAAUGGAAUUCCUGGUGUAGCGGUGGAAUGCGCAGAUAUCAGGAGGAACACCGAUGGGCGAAGGCAGUUCUCUGGGCCGUAACUGACGCUGAGGAGCGAAAGCGUGGGGAGCGAACAGGAUUAGAUACCCUGGUAGUCCACGCCGUAAACGUUGGGCGCUAGUUGUGGGGACCAUUCCACGGUCUCCGUGACGUAGCUAACGCAUUAAGCGCCCCGCCUGGGGAGUACGGCCGCAAGGCUAAAACUCAAAGGAAUUGACGGGGGCCCGCACAAGCGGCGGAGCAUGCGGAUUAAUUCGAUGCAACGCGAAGAACCUUACCAAGGCUUGACAUAUAGAGGAAAAGGCUGGAAACAGUCUCCCCGCAAGGUCUCUAUACAGGUGGUGCAUGGUUGUCGUCAGCUCGUGUCGUGAGAUGUUGGGUUAAGUCCCGCAACGAGCGCAACCCUCGUCCUAUGUUGCCAGCGGUUCGGCCGGGAACUCAUGGGAUACUGCCGGGGUCAACUCGGAGGAAGGUGGGGAUGACGUCAAAUCAUCAUGCCCCUUAUGUCUUGGGCUUCACGCAUGCUACAAUGGCCGGUACAAAGGGCUGCAAUACCGCAAGGUGGAGCGAAUCCCA
Molecule: ribosomal RNA, 1033 nt
Filed under: uncultured Actinomycetes bacterium
Lineage: Bacteria; Bacillati; Actinomycetota; Actinomycetes
Description: bacterial SSU rRNA
Rfam family: Bacterial small subunit ribosomal RNA
Source: RNAcentral